GAUGAACGCUGGCGGCGUGCCUAACACAUGCAAGUCGAGCGAAGGGCCGUGAAACCUUCUUCCCAGCUGUUAGCGGCGGACGGGUGAGUAACACGUGGAUAACCCCCGCAUAAGACUGGGAUACCUUCGGGAAACCGGAGCUCUUAUCGGACAAACUUUUGAAUCGCAUGGUUCAAAAGUGAAAGACGGUCGUGCUGUCACUUAUACAUGGACCCGCGCUGCAUUAGCUAGUUGGUAAGGUAACGGCUUACCAAGGCAACGAUGCAUAGCCGACCGGGGAGGGUGAUCGGCCACACUGGAACGGGGACACGGUCCGGACCCCUACGGAGGGAGGCAGGAGGGAAUCUUCGGAAAUGAGGGAAGGCCUGCCGAGCCAACGCCGGUGGGGUAAUGAGGGUUUUCGGUUCGUAAAACUCUGUUAUCAGGAAGAAACGUAUGUGUAAGAAACGGUGGACAGAUUGACGGUACCUAAACAGAAAGCCACGGCUAACUACGUG
RNAcentral lists this ribosomal RNA (497 nucleotides) under uncultured bacterium. RNAcentral describes it as "partial 16S ribosomal RNA". It matches the Rfam family "Bacterial small subunit ribosomal RNA", at positions 28 to 507 of the family's 1533-position model. The record is from RNAcentral.